UACGUAGGGGGCAGGCGUUGUCCGGAAUCAUUGGGCGUAAAGAGCGUGUAGGCGGCCAGGUAGGUCUGCUGUGAAAACUCGAGGCUCAACCUCGAGACGUCGGCGGAAACCAUCUGGCUAGAGUCCGGAAGAGGAGAGUGGAAUUCCUGGUGUAGCGGUGAAAUGCGCAGAUAUCAGGAAGAACACCCGUGGCGAAGGCGGCUCUCUGGGACGGUACUGACGCUGAGACGCGAAAGCGUGGGGAGCGAACAGG
This 253-nucleotide ribosomal RNA is filed under the name uncultured bacterium. RNAcentral's name for it is "partial 16S ribosomal RNA". It matches the Rfam family "Bacterial small subunit ribosomal RNA", at positions 524 to 776 of the family's 1533-position model. The record is from RNAcentral.